CUACGAAAGGUGCAAGCGUUGUUCGGAUUUACUGGGCGUAAAGAGAGUGUAGGUGGUUUAUUAAGUCGGAUGUGAAAUCCCGGGGCUCAACCUCGGAACUGCAUUCGAUACUGAUAGGCUAGAGUUUGGGAGGGGUAAGCGGAAUUCCGUGUGUAGCAGUGAAAUGCGUAGAUAUACGGAGGAACACCUGAGGCGAAGGCGGCUUACUGGACCAAUACUGACACUGAGACUCGAAAGCGUGGGUAGCAAACAGGCUUAGAAACCCUAGUAGUCC
This 274-nucleotide ribosomal RNA is filed under the name uncultured bacterium. RNAcentral's name for it is "partial 16S ribosomal RNA". It matches the Rfam family "Bacterial small subunit ribosomal RNA", at positions 523 to 796 of the family's 1533-position model. The record is from RNAcentral.